ACCGCGGUAGCCCAGUUGGUUAGGGCGUCGGCAGUACUGAUGCCGAAGGUCGAAGGUCGCAGGUUUGAAUCCUGCCUGCGAUG
Non-coding RNA from Phthorimaea operculella (potato tuberworm), 83 nucleotides. Lineage: Eukaryota; Metazoa; Arthropoda; Insecta; Lepidoptera; Gelechiidae. The record is from the annotation of a GenBank genome assembly.